UAAAGUGGUGGUGUAUGGGACAUAGCUAGUACAUAACCAAUAUGGUGCUGACUUCAUGACAGCAAUGGUUGCCUCCCAUUUGAAUGUAGUGCAGUUUGAAGCAGUCAGUAAAUCUUGAUGAGGGACAUUAAUCACUUGUUCUUUGCUAUCUCCAAGUUUCAUGUAUACAGAUAAUAAUCUUCACAUCCCAAUAGAUGAUCUCUGCUUACAGUGCUUGAACAACUGAAAU
This 229-nucleotide long non-coding RNA is filed under the name Musa acuminata (dwarf banana). Its description in RNAcentral is "long non-coding RNA (MACU_LNC003259)". The record is from RNAcentral. Lineage: Eukaryota; Viridiplantae; Streptophyta; Magnoliopsida; Zingiberales; Musaceae.